UACGUAGGGGGCUAGCGUUAUCCGGAAUUACUGGGCGUAAAGGGUGCGUAGGUGGUUUCUUAAGUCAGAGGUGAAAGGCUACGGCUCAACCGUAGUAAGCCUUUGAAACUGGGAAACUUGAGUGCAGGAGAGGAGAGUGGAAUUCCUAGUGUAGUGGUGAAAUGCGUAGAUAUUAGGAGGAACACCAGUUGCGAAGGCGGCUCUCUGGACUGUAACUGACACUGAGGCACGAAAGCGUGGGGAGCAAACAGGAUUAGAUACCCGGGUAGUCCCUGAGCGGG
RNAcentral lists this ribosomal RNA (281 nucleotides) under uncultured prokaryote. RNAcentral describes it as "partial 16S ribosomal RNA". It matches the Rfam family "Bacterial small subunit ribosomal RNA", at positions 524 to 803 of the family's 1533-position model. The record is from RNAcentral.